AUGGGAACUCAGUGGACAGUCCAGAGGGCUUACCCUGCUUGGCUCAGCCGUGACCCUGCCAUCCUAUUACUUACUGGCCCAGCCAGAAGAAGGAGCCUCGGAAACGAAAAUGCCGAAAGGUCACUCAGUGCCUUGGCCACGCGGUCAGCCCCAGAGCCAGCCGUUUGCACCCCAGUCCCGGUCCUCGCCUGCAGCCACUCCGCCGCACCCGGCCACCUGUUGCUGCCCUCGCGCCCGGAGCCGAGUCGCAAGCCGCCGCUAGAGUUCGUUCUAAUUCCCUGGAGCAAAGGCUGGCCGGGAAACCCCGACGCUCCGAGCCUGCUAAUCUUCAGGGCAGGCGGGGACUCCGCAGGGCCUCCCAGCCCCAGGCUCUCUUUGUCUCCUCGCGGCGCUCAGAACAUCAAAAGUCAACCCCAGACAGCGUCCUCUCCCACUCUUGGCUCGUGCGCGCUCGCGCUCAGCUCACACCUGGGAGAUGCUGACGCGUCGAGACGCCCACGGAGGGGAAAAGGGUUCAUCCUGGCAGGACCCGGAGGCGCAGACAGGUUGUUCUCCGUGAGAUUCCAGAGCGUCUCCUGAAUCCCAAAUCCCUUAGAGCUCCUUAGCUGAACACUGUAGCAGCAGCGCUGCGCCCCAAACGCAAGUUCGCGGUUGCGGAGGCCGUAGGCGGAGAGCAGCGACAUCCCGACUCGCCUUCGCUCUAAGGAGCGCAAAGGGAGAUCCAGGGGGANGACUCGCCUUCGCUCUAAGGAGCCCAAAGGGAGAUCCAGGGGGAGGCAACAGUUAGGGAUGCCCUCCCGCCAGGAACGCCGGAGUCGCAAUUUCGAAAGUGACCCGCCUCGCUUCCGAGGGACUUGCCUAUGAGCGCCGCGGGGGUGUGCAUUUCUGGAAGUCUGAGAAUCCCAGAGAACGCUGGCCGGCAAGAGUUUUUAAGUCAGCUCCCGGGGCGUCUGUUUGUUUAUUGACGCUUAGGGGGAAAGUUUGAGGAUGUUUAACCAACCUCAGACCUGGCGCAAGCGAAAAUCUCAGACUCUCUUGGGUAAAAGUCCUCUAAUUUCGAGUCGUUAUAUAAGUAGGGGCUCUUUCUUACCCUGCCUACCCUAAGCGCUCUCGUUCCUAUUUCAGGAGUUAAAUGUGUCUCGCUUAAAAAAAAAUUUUUUUUUUUAAGUUGUCAUUAUUUCCCUGAGUCCAAAGGCGGGAGAACGCGCAGGCCGCGCCCCGGGGCGCGCGGCGGCCCCACCCUUGCGCUGCGGGAGGGACGCGGGGUCCCGGGUGCCGCCGGCUCGCGCUGGAGCAGCCGCGCCCCGCAGUCCCUCCGUCCGCCACUCCACGUGGUCGGGAUCAACAGUUUGCUGAGCUCAUCUGUGACACCUUGAACUUUUAAUAAAGAAAAUGGGUAUUGCACCGGGAGGGUUCGGCCGCGGCCGCCUCGCCGGGUCCUGCUUAAUAUUCAAUGAUCUCGCUCGCGCCUCCCCCUCCUCCCCUAGCAGAAAUUCCACCGAGUCCGUUACUGGGCUCAGACUUUUAACUUAAUUUACGGGGCCCCCACCCCAACCUUGGCUAGUAACCAGC
RNAcentral lists this long non-coding RNA (1572 nucleotides) under Capra hircus (goat). Its description in RNAcentral is "lncRNA (ENSCHIG00010008794.1)". Lineage: Eukaryota; Metazoa; Chordata; Mammalia; Artiodactyla; Bovidae. The record is from RNAcentral.